Molecule: ribosomal RNA, 200 nt
Filed under: uncultured bacterium
Lineage: Bacteria
Description: partial 16S ribosomal RNA
Rfam family: Bacterial small subunit ribosomal RNA
Source: RNAcentral
AGGUGGUCUGUUAAGUCUGAGGUGAAAGCCCCGGGCUCAACCUGAGAAUGGCAUUGGAUACUGGCAGUAUAGAGUGCGGUAGAGGGUAGUGGAAUUCCCGGUGUAGCAGUGAAAUGCGUAGAUAUCGGGAGGAACAUCCGUGGCGAAGGCGACUACCUGGACCAGCACUGACACUGAGGCACGAAAGCGUGGGGAGCAAA